UGGGGAAUAUUGCACAGUGGGCGCAAGCCUGAUGCAGCCAUGCCGCGUGUAUGAAGAAGGCCUUCGGGUUGUAAAGUACUUUCAGCGGGGAGGAAGGCGAUAAGGUUAAUAACCUUGUCGAUUGACGUUACCCGCAGAAGAAGCACCGGCUAACUCCGUGCCAGCAGCCGCGGUAAUACGGAGGGUGCAAGCGUUAAUCGGAAUUACUGGGCGUAAAGCGCACGCAGGCGGUCUGUCAAGUCGGAUGUGAAAUCCCCGGGCUCAACCUGGGAACUGCAUUCGAAACUGGCAGGCUAGAGUCUUGUAGAGGGGGGUAGAAUUCCAGGUGUAGCGGUGAAAUGCGUAGAGAUCUGGAGGAAUACCGGUGGCGAAGGCGGCCCCCUGGACAAAGACUGACGCUCAGGUGCGAAAGCGUGGGGAGCAAACA
This 427-nucleotide ribosomal RNA is filed under the name uncultured bacterium. RNAcentral's name for it is "partial 16S ribosomal RNA". It matches the Rfam family "Bacterial small subunit ribosomal RNA", at positions 355 to 774 of the family's 1533-position model. The record is from RNAcentral.